UCACUGGUCAUGUGAUGUGACGCGCCAUGAGUGACGACGUUACGCCCAAUGCGGAAGUGAAGCGCAACUAAACAUUCGCCCGUAAUUGUCAUCGAAACCUACUUCUCAUCAGCGUCUCCAGUGAUCAUCAACUAUCUCCAUCAUGCUCGGUGGAGGAUUUAAAUCAGAGAGGCUUCGCGUCAACCUCAGGCUGGUCAUAAACCGCCUCAAACUUCUCGAGAAGAAGAAAUCUGAAUUGGCCCAAAAGGCUCGUAAGGAAAUCGCAGACUACUUGUCGGCAGGCAAAGAUGAGCGUGCGAGGAUCAGAGUCGAGCACAUCAUCAGAGAAGAUUAUCUGGUGGAGGCCAUGGAGAUUCUGGAGUUAUACUGCGAUCUGUUGCUCACCCGUUUUGGUUUAAUACAGUCCAUGAAAGAACUUGACCCUGGUCUACAAGAAGCGGUGUCCACUCUCAUCUGGGCGGCUCCCCGUCUACAGUCAGAAGUUGUAGAACUGAAAAUCGUCUCAGACCAGUUGUGUGCCAAAUACAGCAAAGAGUACGCAAAGCUUUGCAGGACGAAUCAGAUCGGAACAGUGAAUGACAGGCUUAUGCACAAACUGAGCGUGGAGUCCCCGCCAAAGAUUUUGGUGGAGCGUUACCUCAUAGAGAUCGCCAAGAACUACAACGUCCCUUAUGAACCUGAUGCCAUGGUUCGGCCUGAAGUGUGUCAGGGGGAAGAAGCUGAUCUGAUAGAUGUGAACAGUGACUUCAGAAAGCCCGGAGCUGGUGGAAGGGGUGGAGGAGGGGGAGGAGGUGGAGGAGGUUUCACCGCCCCCACUGAGGCCAUGCCUAUGCCCAUGCCAAUGCCCAUGCCCACAGCUUUCAACUACCCUGUACCCAAAGGAGCUGAGCCCUUCAAUGGUCCUGUUGGAACCUAUGAUGGCUUUAGCAACUUCCAGCCUCCAGCGAGAGGAGGGCAGCCACCACAACUUCCCAGCUGCCCACCAACCUAUGAAUCUGUAAGUGCAAGAGUUCUCCAACCCCCUCACCCAGACGUGGACGACUCAUUCAGGGAAGAGCAAUUUGUUACAGUUCACAUGCUUAACACUGCUCUAUACUUACUCUUCUCCCUGGGAGCCUUCGCAUGCCCGUGCCACAAAACAUCACAAACUCGCCUCAUUUCUAACCUCUGCCAUGUUGAGUUUACUGCUUUUUUGGAAUUCUUGGGGAAAUGCUUUCAAGUAUUUAUAAACGGAAGAAAUACUACAAGCAUUUUUUCCAACAAAUCCACCACUGCGCAUGUGAUAAAUGGAUGGUUCAUUCCAAAAUGUAAUUUACUCAUCCUCAUGUCAUCUCAAAUCUGUAUGACCUUCACCCUUCUGCAGAACACAAAAGAUAUUUUGAAGAAUGUUGGUUACCAAACAACAUUGUCGCCUUUGACUUCUAUUGUAUGGACACAAAACCAUUCUCAAAAUAUCUUCUUUUGUGUUCUGCAGAAGACAGUCAUAUACGACAUAAGGGUGAAUAAAUGGUACUAUCCCUCGACUCUAUCCCUUUUCCUUCAUGAGCACUUGAUCUGUAUUCACGACAAGGUCAUGUUGUUGCACGGGUGCGUUCUAUCAUACUUUUCCUCUGUCAUGCUUUUACUAAUGAUACAGAAGUGUCGACUGGAGAUCAGUCAUGAAAAAUUAGAAAUAAAAUGUUAAUUAUUUUAUGAAAACAUACUGUAACAUAUUUUUCAGAACUCAGUCCCUUCAGUUCAUAAAGAUCAUCUGCUAAAAUUAGGUUGCAAAAAACAUCUCACUCUGAAAUCCUUGGUUUCUGACAUCACAAACCAGUCCACUAUUGAAAAAGAGAUUUUUAAUCUCAAUGAGUCUCUUUCUGGUUAAAUAAAGGAAACUAAACCUAUCAAUACACUGGAUUCAAGUCCUCCCCCUUGUCCACUAAUAUUUGAAGGCCCCUCCAAUUAAAGUUUCAACUAAAUGUAAUCUUUUUACAGUGUGUCAUAACUUGAAAGAUCUACAGCCUCUGAAAAAAAUUAAGAGACCAUUUCAGAUUUGUUUUCAGAUUUAAAAAAGUACUAUUUAUAGGUUUGUGUUUAAGUAAAAUUAUUAUUUUUGUUUCAUUCUGUAAACUACAAAACUCCCCAAUUCAUUUUUUGGGAUUUAUUGGCAGAAAAUGAAAACUGGAGAAACAGUUCAAAAUAACCGAAAAUAUGUGGUGUAUUAUUUCAGAUCUAAAAAAAAUGCAAAGAAACCAGCUUCUAUUCACGUAUUAAGCAAUACAACAGUAAUAUUUCUACAUGUAUUUUGGAAAAAUGUGAUUACCUGGAUUUUCUCACAGUUUGCAUCUGUCUUCUCAUGCUGUCAGUCUUUCACAGUCCUGAAGUUUGAUUUUUUUUAAAUUCAACUAACACUGGACUGAAAUGGCCACAAUACAAUUAGAAAUGAUUUGAAAUGAAAAUUUUGAAUGGUUUCCUUAUUUUUCCUGCGGCUGUACAGUAUAUUCAAUAUAGACCCCAAAAUAGAGACCCUCAGAUUCUAGUCCUGUCCUUAAGAAACACGGGAUACUUUACAGUUAUUUAUUCUGUUACCUUUAGGGGAAAAAAACUGUAAAAUAAGGCCUAUUAAGAGGUAUACAUUGGAAUUACUGAGCUAAUAUUUAUAUUUAAGCAUUCAGCAGACACUUUCAUCCAGAGCAGUUUACAAAAAACAUUAUAUGGCCGAAUAAAAUCUGUAAAAAUGUUUGACGACCUUUUAAAGGUACAAACACACCAGAUUUAUUUAGCUUUGUAUGUUUUGUCCAUGUUUUAUAUGAGGGGUUAACAUUAUCAAUGUUGCUUUUCUUUAAGAUCGAUGAUUUGUCAGUCAAACCCUCUGCUUGUCCCCAGGUGAUGCCAGGCCCAGUCCCAUCCGGCCAAUUCUAUGACAACUCCAGCCUUCCAGAGCUUCCGUCUGUUCCCAACACGCUCCCCGCAUCCUCGUUCGGAGGGAACCCCAA
RNA transcript from Triplophysa dalaica, 2978 nucleotides. It is a transcript of the gene named IST1 factor associated with ESCRT-III, with no coding region annotated. The transcript is spliced from 9 exons. The record is from RefSeq and is a predicted model, not a curated record. Lineage: Eukaryota; Metazoa; Chordata; Actinopteri; Cypriniformes; Nemacheilidae.